Molecule: ribosomal RNA, 447 nt
Filed under: uncultured bacterium
Lineage: Bacteria
Description: partial 16S ribosomal RNA
Rfam family: Bacterial small subunit ribosomal RNA
Source: RNAcentral
AACGAACGCUGGCGGCAGGCUUAACACAUGCAAGUCGAGCGCCCCGCAAGGGGAGCGGCAGACGGGUGAGUAACGCGUGGGAAUCUACCGUGCCCUAAGGAAUAGCUCCGGGAAACUGGAAUUAAUACCUUAUACGCCCUUUGGGGGAAAGAUUUAUCGGGGUAUGAUGAGCCCGCGUUGGAUUAGCUAGUUGGUGGGGUAAAGGCCUACCAAGGCGACGAUCCAUAGCUGGUCUGAGAGGAUGAUCAGCCACAUUGGGACUGAGACACGGCCCAAACUCCUACGGGAGGCAGCAGUGGGGAAUAUUGGACAAUGGGCGCAAGCCUGAUCCAGCCAUGCCGCGUGAGUGAUGAAGGCCCUAGGGUUGUAAAGCUCUUUCACCGGUGAAGAUAAUGACGGUAACCGGAGAAGAAGCCCCGGCUAACUUCGUGCCAGCCGCCGCGGUAA